GAAAUGCGAUAAGUAAUGUGAAUUGCAGAAUUCAGUGAAUCAUCGAAUCUUUGAACGCACAUUGCGCCUAUUAGUAUUCUAGUAGGCAUGCCUGUUCGAGCGUCAUUUCAACCCUCAGAACCCCUUGCGGGAUCUGGCGUUGGGGAUUGGCAUCCAGCCAGCCCCGAAAUCUAGUGGCGGUCCCUCCGCGACCUCCCCUGUGCAGUAGCGAUACCUCGCAGCGGGACAGCGGUCUGACCACGCUGUAAAACCCCCAACUUCUCAAGGUUGACCUCGAAUCAGGUAGGAAUACCCGCUGAACUUAAGC
Molecule: unclassified non-coding RNA, 307 nt
Filed under: plant metagenome
Description: partial contains 5.8S ribosomal RNA, internal transcribed spacer 2, and large subunit ribosomal RNA
Rfam family: 5.8S ribosomal RNA (bases 1-105)
Source: RNAcentral